This 2941-nucleotide long non-coding RNA is filed under the name Piliocolobus tephrosceles (Ugandan red Colobus). Its description in RNAcentral is "lncRNA (ENSPTEG00000000166.1)". Lineage: Eukaryota; Metazoa; Chordata; Mammalia; Primates; Cercopithecidae. The record is from RNAcentral.
ACGAACUGUCUGAAAUUGUUGAAAAUAUUGAUCAUUAUAAUACAAAUAAUAUGAAGUUUACAUCUUUUUUUUCAACCAUUAUGAUUAUAUUAGAUGAAGAAACAAUUAUAUAUGAUAAAAACAAUCGAAAUUAUUAUGAUUGUGAUAAAUUAACAUUUACACGUUUAUUAACUGAUAAGAAAAAAAAAGAAACGAUCAGGAUAUUAUUAUUUAUAGAUCAAAAAAUACCUUUUUUUGAACUUUCACCAGCAUUUAAUAAUUUCAUGCAAUCGGAUGAAGAAACCAUGCCAGAAAUAAUAAAAUAUAUUUAUGAAUAUAGUUUAGAAAAAGGAUUAAUUGAUUCGAAUAGUAAUAUGAAAACAGAUGAAGCACUAAAAAAUAUAUUAGAAGUAGAUGAAUACAAAUUCUCAGAUUUACCAAAACUUUUGCAAAAACAUCUUAUUAUACAAAAACCAAUAGUAUUAGAACAUACAUUGGAUUUUGAAAAUGCAUAUGAGUCAGAAAGUAUAUAUGAUAUUGUUAUUGACAUCUUUGAACCAUUUAUGACUUUAGAUAAUGGACAACGUCAAAAGUUUAUAUUAGAUUCACAUGCCCUAAAUAAUUUAAUAGAAUUUUUAAAAGUGAAUGAAACAGAGUUUGCUACUAAGAGUCGACCACAAAGGGGCAAUGAUUUUGAUACUGGUGUUAAUGAACCCACUAAUGAACCCAUUAAUGAACCAAUUAAUGAACCAAUUAAUGAACCAAUUAAUGAACCCAUUAAUGAACCCAUUAAUGAACCAAUCAAUGAACCAAUCAAUGAACCCAUUAAUGAACCAAUUAAUGAACCUAUUAAUGAACCUAUUAAUGAACCUAUUAAUGAACCUAUUAAUGAACCGAUUAAUGAACCGAUUAAUGAACUAGCUAAUGAACCCAUCAAUGAACCAACUAACAAACAUGCUAACGAACACGCCAACGAAUCCACAUCCACGGAUUGUCAUAAUAACCAUAGUGAUUGUACAGGUUAUAACAAUAACAGCAAAUAUACUAACUGCAAUAAAGACAUAGAAUCCACUAAUAAUCAUGUUUUGUCAAACGAAAACGUAGAAAUUAAAGAAACAGAUGUAAAAAACGAAAAAGGAAAUAUAAAAUCUGCAGAUGAUAUAUCAAAAGAUAAAAUUUUAAAAGAAGAUAAUUAUGAAAGAGAGGAAGACGUAGGAAAUGAACAAACACGUGUUAAUAAUAAAAAAAUAUGUAAAUCAGAUGAUACAUAUAAUGAUAAUAAAUGCUUAAGCUGUUCUUCAUCUGCGACUAUUUCUAUAUUUGAAAAAAUACAUGAAAUACAAAACGAAAUAGAGGAUAUGGAUAAGCAUAUUGUUAAUAUAUUAAAUAAAAUAGAACAAAAAAAUAGCAUAAGAUUAUUUUACAAAAAAUUUUAUGAAAAUCCAUGUAAAUUUAUUGAUCAUGUUAUGAAUAGUAAGUUUUCAAUAAGUCCAGAAAAUAUAAGUGACAAUAGCUAUAUAUAUGACCAUGCAGUCAAUGUUAACGACGAUCAAUAUUAUAAGCUCCCAUGGGUUCACAAGGGCAUUUCAACAUAUUUGUCAUUAAAAAACCAGUGCUUUGAUGACGUUCUUAAAUCUUCUUUAAAUAUUAUAAAUUAUGGAAGCAAAGGAAAUAUAAAUAGUAAUAUAAACGAAAGUGUAAAUCCAUACCUAAACCAAUCCCCAAACCUAAACCAACAACCAAACCUAAACACAAACGCAAACCUAAACACAAACGCAGACCUAAACAUAAACGUAAACACAAAUACGAAUACAAAUACAAACACAAAUACAAACACAAAUACUAACGCAAACCUAAACCUAAACAUAAACGCAAACACAAAUACAAACACAAAUACAAAUACAAACACAAAUACAAACGCAAACCUAAACAUAAACGCAAACACAAAUACAAAUACAAAUACAAACACAAACGCAAAUACAAAUACAAACGCAAACACAAACGCAAAUACAAAUACAAACGCAAACACAAACGCAAAUACAAAUACAACGACAUGCGCAAACAUGAAAAAAGUCAAAGACAAAAACAGAAAAAAGCAAAAAGUAAAAACUUCAAAUGAACAACAUUUAGAAAAAUUAUAUAGUCCAUAUAAUCUAUAUAAUCAGCAAUUUAAUCCUAAUUUUAUAAACCAACAAGGUAUAAACAGUAAUAAUUUUAAUUUUAAUAACAAUUUUAACAAUUUUAAUAAUAAUUUUAAUAACAAUUUUAAUAACAAUUUUAAUAAUAAUUUUAAUAAUAGUAGUAGUAGUAGUAAUAGUAGUAGUAAUAAUAACUGUGCAUAUUAUUAUCCCACAAAUCCAAAUAUGUAUUAUAAUAAUAUACCUGUAGGGUUUAAUAAUUUUGUGCAAAGUUAUGCUGGUACUGGUAGUGCGUCGAUUAAUGUACCUGUUAAUGUACCGGCUAGUGUACCUUUUAAUGUACCAUUUCCGGCCCCUGUCAAUGUACCUGUUACUGCAGCUACUAAUAAUAUAUGUUACAAAAAUAAUGAUUUAUCAAAUAAUUAUAACAUUAAUAGUAAUUGUUGCUUAACAAAUAACAAUUUGUCAACAAAUUUUAAUACUGAAAAUAUAUAUGUUAAUAAUGUGGAACCAUGUAAUUUCAAUUUAUACAAUAAUAGUCAGCAAAUGGCACCAGUACCAUAUCAUCCGGAAUAUAUGAUAAACAUGGUUCCUUUUAAUGAAAUGAACUCUCAAAAUAAUUCGAAUCCAUUGUCUAAUGAAACCGCACCUAUACCCAUACCUAUGCAUAUGAAUGAAUACCCCAAUGACAACAAUUUUAAUCCUGGUGAUAAUUACGUUUCACAAAAAAUGGAUGACAGUAAAGCAAUUUCACAGGGAAAUGCAUAACUCCCGGUAAAAUAAUAUAAUAAUAAACUUAUUAACAAUGUAGUGAAAAACGUUCA